GACGAACGCUGGCGGCGUGCUUAACACAUGCAAGUCGAACGAUAAAGCAGAGAGACGCUACCUUCAGUUCAAGUUUCACUUCGGAUUAGUGGCAGACGAGUGAGUAACGCGUUAGCAACCUACCUCUUACAAAGGGAUAGCCUCGGGAAACGGUGAUUAAUACCAUAUGACACAUUCAUAACGCAUCUUAAGACUGUUAAAGGUACGGCGGUAAGAGAUGGGCUAGCGUCCCAUUAGCUAGUUGGUGAGGUAACGGCGCACCAAGGCGACGGCGGGUAACCUGCAUGAGAGAGUGAAUCGUCACUCCGGAACUGAGACACGGUCGAGAAUACUACGCGAUGGAGGAGUGGGUAAUAUUGCCCAACCGAGGGAAUUCUGAUGCCGCGCCGCUGGGUGAGCCAUGAAGUAAGGAGUGUAGUACAGCUCUGUUAUAUGGGAAGAAAAUGACGGUACCAAAGGAGAAAGCCCCAGCUAACUACGUG
This 482-nucleotide ribosomal RNA is filed under the name uncultured bacterium. Its description in RNAcentral is "partial 16S ribosomal RNA". It matches the Rfam family "Bacterial small subunit ribosomal RNA", at positions 28 to 507 of the family's 1533-position model. The record is from RNAcentral.